CCGGCACGGGUGAGUAACACGUAUCCAACCUGCCGUCUACUCUUGGCCAGCCUUCUGAAAGGAAGAUUAAUACAAGAUGGCAUCAUGAGUCCGCAUGUUCACAUGAUUAAAGGUAUUCCGGUAGACGAUGGGGAUGCGUUCCAUUAGAUAGUAGGCGGGGUAACGGCCCACCUAGUCUUCGAUGGAUAGGGGUUCUGAGGGGAAGGUCCCCCACAUUGGAACUGAGACACGGUCCAA
RNAcentral lists this ribosomal RNA (237 nucleotides) under uncultured bacterium. RNAcentral describes it as "partial 16S ribosomal RNA". It matches the Rfam family "Bacterial small subunit ribosomal RNA", at positions 100 to 334 of the family's 1533-position model. The record is from RNAcentral.